This 3331-nucleotide unclassified non-coding RNA is filed under the name Acanthaster planci (crown-of-thorns starfish). RNAcentral's name for it is "glucose-6-phosphate exchanger SLC37A2-like, transcript variant X4". The record is from RNAcentral. Lineage: Eukaryota; Metazoa; Echinodermata; Asteroidea; Valvatida; Acanthasteridae.
GGGUCGAAACUUUGCGCCCAGGCUGUGGGCCGAGCCUUACGGGGGAGGGGGCUUCCGCAUGUGAGGUACCAUUACGCGUUACGGACCGGUGCAGCUGUUUCAAAGCUUCCACUUUCAGCCUAGUCGCAGCCACAGCCCGGACCUUCCAGUGAAAGGUCUUGUUCCCAGAUUAUACGUCGACUAUGCCACGUGUAUUACGAGAGCAGCCUGUCAUACGGCGUAGCAUCUUUGAUAAAACCCAGAGGCAGUGGCAUCAGUUGUUUAUCCUCCCGAUCUCUUACUUUUCACUUUGAAAAAAUGCAGUUUUGUUGAUAAACCACAGAUGGAUUUGCUUCAGACGUAACGAUUGAGGUUUGGUUGGUACAGUAAAUCAUACCUAGAACUUUUAAGUGUGCACAGAAGCGCUUAGAUCCAGCAGCAGUGAAGUAUUCUCCUAGUCAUUGGCCCACCAGGCUGCAGCCAACACCAGGCUAUCUAUACUGACCAUGGCGGGGACCCCAUUGAUGACCCCUCUGCUGAAUGCCUGCUUUCGUGGGCGGUACCGGACAUUACUCCACAAGAUCUUGGUGUUAAUAAUCACUUUCUUCACCUACAUGACCUACCAUUUGUCUAGAAGGCCAAUCAGCAUUGCCAAGGGUGUGUGGCACCGUAACUGCUCCAUACCCAUCAAUGACCUUCAGUUCCCCGUUUUCAAUAUUUCUGACGCCGGAAACCCCAACUGGUGUGACUGGAAACCUUUUGACACCUCUGAUGCUGAGGUCCUGCUAGGAUGGCUAGACACCGGGUAUCUAUUUGCCUAUGCAGUAGGAAUGUUUUUCAGCGGUCACAUUGCUGAGCGGAUGAGUCUACGCUACUUUCUGUUCGGCGGCAUGUUCCUGAGCGGUUUCUUCACAGCCGUGGUGGGCCUGGCCCAGUUCUUUCAGAUUCACAACUAUGCUUUCUUCAUCACAAUGAUGAUUGUCGGGGGUUUCUUCCAAGCAACAGGUUGGCCAGCAGUGGUUGCCGUGGUAGCCAACUGGUACGGAAAAGGAAAGCGUGGCCUUAUCAUGGGCGUGUGGAACACCCACACCAGCCUGGGCAACAUCCUAGGUGCAGUCAUCGCAGGGGCGUUUGUCGACUACUAUUGGGCGUGGUCGUUCAUCGUCCCUGGAGGCAUCAUCGCGUCCAUGGGAGUGAUAGUCUUCUUGUUCCUCAUUGAAUAUCCAACUGAUGUUGGCUGCGAUCCACCUAAAAAUCAAGAAGAGGAGACAAAGUCAGUCGGUGUUAACUUUUCAGACGACGAGAAUGGGCACUUUGGUGAGAGGAAAGUCCUAUCUGAGCAGCCUGCCAUCACCACAUGGAGAGCCCUCAUGAUUCCGGGUGUCAUCGAAUUCUCCCUUUCUCUGUUCUUCUGCAAGCUAGUCAGCUACACAUUCCUCUUUUGGCUUCCGUACUACAUCAGCCGCACCACGAAACUGUCGGACGAGCAGUCUGCAUACUUCUCCACCCUCUUUGACGUGGGCGGGGUGCUGGGGGGCAUCGUCAUAGGGCUCCUGUCGGACCUGAGCGGAGCCAGUGCCACGGUGUCGUUUGUGGCCCUAGUCGUGUCUGCGCCUCUGGUGUAUAUCUACAAUGCGUACGGCUACCUCAGCCUAGCCAAAAGUAUAGGUCUGAUGAUGCUGACAGCGUUUUUCACCAAUGCCCCCUAUGCUCUCAUUACCACUGCCGUGUCUGCUGAUUUGGGCACCCACCCGACCCUCCACGGUAAUGCCAAAGCCUUGGCGACGGUGUCCGCCAUCAUCGACGGGACGGGCACCAUUGGCGCUGCCAUCGGCCCUCUCUUGACAGGUAUCAUCAGUCCAACAAACAGUCACGGCUGGAGUGACGUCUUCCUCAUGCUGGCCGGGGCCGAGGUUGCCUCUGCUUUGUGUUUACUUAGGCUGGUGUUUAAGGAGAUGAAGAAAGCCUGCUGUCAGAGCGAUUACCAGCUAAUCUCGGGUACCGGCCCAAGAGCCGAAGGCGAAGUUGGUGUACACACAUACCCUACCGAAGUACCAUUCCGUGAGUGAGAGAUGUUGAAUGAGACCAUCUGCCACUAUCCUUCAUAUGAACUCCACUGCACUAGGAAAUAGACAGGAAGCCAUCCAUCUCAGUCGGAGGUUGUCAGCUACGGACAUGUCACGUUGACCUCUGAAAUGCCUCCUUGGAGAGACGCUGCUGUGCGGCGGCUCAAACUGACUUUUGUUUAAACCUCUCAUGAUGCCAGCUGAGUGGGAGCCUGCCAUCGAUGCAGGACAAAAACCCAGCCGAGUCUGCCAGGCUGAAACGGAAGCAGUUUGGACAGAGUUGCAAUCAAGUCAUUCAAGGCUGACCCUGAGCCACGGGCGAUGCGACCAGUUGUUGACAUUGAAAUGAAAGAAAAUUUAGAACAGGGCAGUAUCCAAAAAUGCAGUAGUCUCCUGUAAAGGAAUCAGUGUGAACUUCGGUUUUUCUUCCUGGAAUGACAUCACAGUUUUGCUCAUGAAUAUGCAGAAAUUUGCUCAGCCUAAAAAGCGGCAAGGCAUACUUUGGCAAACAAAGCUUUGAAAUUAUAUUAGGUCGACCGGAACACAAAAUUGCACACUGAAGAAAGUGAAGGAUUUCAUCUCAAAAUGAUAUCGUAUAGCCCUUUGGUUGUUCAGUCGAACACAAAAUGGGAGGGAAAAGGCAUAUCUCUUGGAGGUGUCACCAACUGUGUAACAUUUCAGUUUUCGUGUGACCUGCCCUUUGAUUUGACCGAAUACUGGCUCAUCAAGUGACUAGAUUUUAACUCUGGUUUUAGCUAAAACGUGAAAGGACGUUUAGCAUAUCAUGUCAUGCUGCCUCUUUGUAAUACAUAUCUGCCAAAAAUUGUUUUCUAUUUUGGUGUUCUCCUCUUGUUUUGUUCUCUUGUGUUCAAUUCAUUAUUUUUCUGUGACACCCUUAGGGAAUGCUCGUUUUCGUUGGUUGCCUGAAAUUUGUACUGUUGCACCUAAGCUAUAGGAUCUGUGCCAACUACAUGUACAGUUUGGACCAUCUCAACGAUGAUUCUUUGUGCAGUAGUCGGGCCUGCCUAGCAGUGUUUGUAUUAAGAGUCCAGCACAGAGUCCGCGACAUGUGGCAAAGGGGGACCCCCCCAUGUGACGCUCAAGCUAUUGUGCCUACAACCCCCCCUGAAAAUCUGAAAGGGUUUCCAAAGAUUCCAUGAACACAAAAGACGACACAAUAGCUCCCCUUUACUACAUACCGCGCAUAAAAUGUCCCUGUAAGUCCAUUUCACAAGUCAUUCAGCCUUACCCCAGUUCACAAGCUAUUCAAAUGAGCAGUGACAAAA